CGACUGAUAAAGCACAGCCUGACAAGAAUACCAAGCUGAAAAUGAGGAGGAAGGGUGAUGGUGGCUCUGUUACUCCAGUGACUAUGACCCAACCUGACUCUGAUAAAAACCAGCCCAGAAGCCUUAGUGAGGAUGCUUAUCUGAAGAGUGAAAUCAGGCCAAGUGGUACCACCCCAGGGCCCGCCAAUAAGAAUCCCAAGCUGCUGCGGUUCCCGAUGAAGGACGUGAAAAAGCGGAAGCCGAGGAGCGGCACAUGGAGCAAGGAGCUCAUUCAUAAAAUCGUGCAGCAGAAAAACAAGCUGCACAAGCUCCAUGCGAAGAGCGAUAAGAACACCCCAGUCUCCAGAGCCACUGAGAAACUGCUGCUGGCAGCCCAGGACAGUAAAUUCGGCGAGUACGAGUACAUUUCGGAUUCAGAUGACGAAGGGGUGGUGUAUGCCAAGCUGCACAGCAGAAAGAAGCUGGGGUCCGCAUCGAAUGGGCGGACCAAGCACAGCUUUAGCAAGAGGUGCUCAGGGAGAGGGGAGAGGACCAAAGAGAAAGAGCCAACCUGGACCUAUAGCCAGAAGAGAGAUGGUCAGGAGCACAGGCGGGCCCCAAGCAAUGAAGCAAUAAAGAAAGAUGGCAUUGCAGCCAGAAUCCGAAGACGAAGCAGCCGAUCGUCCACCGGCAGCAGUCAUAGCACUAGCUUGUCCAGUGAAACUGGCGCUAGCCCCCCAAGCACUGAAAGGGCCGACUCUGACAACGAGAAUGAAAGCGUCCAGAACAGAAGAUACCCAGAUAGUUCUGAGCAGAUCACACCACUUCCAAGGAACUCGCUGAGCCUUCUUGAUAAAGAGACUCUAAAGAUGAGCAAUGAAACCAAAGUGGGCUUUUCCAGAGGGACAAGGAGGUUUGGCUCAGCCAAAUAUUUGCUGACUGCCUCCACGACACGUCGCAGCGAUAGGUCAUGCAUUUCUCCGGCAGGUUCUAUGAACGAGGAAAGCUCACCAGAAAGCAAAGAAAAAC
RNAcentral lists this long non-coding RNA (1008 nucleotides) under Gopherus agassizii (Agassiz's desert tortoise). Its description in RNAcentral is "lncRNA (ENSGAGG00000001399.1)". Lineage: Eukaryota; Metazoa; Chordata; Testudines; Testudinidae. The record is from RNAcentral.